GCGGGUGUAGUUUAAUGGUAGAACUUCAGCCUUCCAAGCUGACUGUGAGGGUUCGAUUCCCUUCGCCUGCACCA
RNAcentral lists this transfer RNA (74 nucleotides) under Mycoplasma phocoenae. RNAcentral describes it as "Mycoplasma sp. Phocoena C-264-GEN tRNA-Gly". It matches the Rfam family "tRNA". Rfam says of the family: Transfer RNA (tRNA) molecules are approximately 80 nucleotides in length. The record is from RNAcentral. Lineage: Bacteria; Bacillati; Mycoplasmatota; Mollicutes; Mycoplasmatales; Mycoplasmataceae.